UUUUAAAUAAAUAUAAUAAAAUAUGUACAUAAAAUAUAUGUACCUACAGGUGGUCCCCGACUUACGAUGGAUUUCGCGGAAUGUACCCCCAUCGUAAGUCGGGGACCACCUGUAUGUACAUAUUUUAUUAUAUUUAUAAAAAAUACUUAUU
Molecule: regulatory RNA element, 151 nt
Organism: Scleropages formosus (Asian bonytongue)
Lineage: Eukaryota; Metazoa; Chordata; Actinopteri; Osteoglossiformes; Osteoglossidae
Rfam family: Bacteroidete tryptophan peptide leader RNA
Source: Rfam